Sitodiplosis mosellana (orange wheat blossom midge) is the source of this 378-nucleotide long non-coding RNA. RefSeq lists it as uncharacterized. The record is from RefSeq and is a predicted model, not a curated record. Lineage: Eukaryota; Metazoa; Arthropoda; Insecta; Diptera; Cecidomyiidae. The transcript has 2 exons.
GUCACCACCAUAUAAAAGGGACAUGAUUUUCUAUUGCAUUCAGAGUUACUUCGCAGUUAGUCAUUGCGCGCUUUUGAGUUAUAUUCUUGAAGAAGUGGAUUACAAUUAAAGGUGAGAAAAUGAUGAAAUUAUUUUGGGCCCUUCUCAUUUUAAUGCUGUCCGCCUAUCAGGCCACCGAGGGAUUUUUCUUCACUCUCCCGUUCUUGUGCCAGAACAAUACCGCCCGAUUCUUCAUUAAGCCAUGGCUUUGUCAGCUAUUCAACAGAACUUCACUUGAACCAACCGAUUUUCUGUCGGAAAUUGAGCCACCCACUUUAUAAAUGAAGCUUGGAAAUAUGGAUUGUACAAUCGAAUGAAAAUAAAAUGUAGUUCUGCAAA